RNAcentral lists this ribosomal RNA (862 nucleotides) under uncultured Brevibacterium sp. RNAcentral describes it as "bacterial SSU rRNA". It matches the Rfam family "Bacterial small subunit ribosomal RNA", at positions 9 to 873 of the family's 1533-position model. The record is from RNAcentral. Lineage: Bacteria; Bacillati; Actinomycetota; Actinomycetes; Micrococcales; Brevibacteriaceae.
UAGAGUUUGAUCCUGGCUCAGGACGAACGCUGGCUGCGUGCUUAACACAUGCAAGUCGAACGCUGAAGCCGGGUGCUUGCACCUGGUGGAUGAGUGGCGAACGGGUGAGUAACACGUGAGUAACCUGCCCCUGAUUUCGGGAUAAGCCUGGGAAACCGGGUCUAAUACCGGACACGACCGGAGAAGGCAUCUUCUCUGGUGGAAAGUUUUUCGAUUGGGGAUGGGCUCGCGGCCUAUCAGUUUGUUGGUGGGGUAAUGGCCUACCAAGGCGACGACGGGUAGCCGGCCUGAGAGGGCGACCGGCCACACUGGGACUGAGACACGGCCCAGACUCCUACGGGAGGCAGCAGUGGGGAAUAUUGCACAAUGGGGGAAACCCUGAUGCAGCGACGCAGCGUGCGGGAUGACGGCCUUCGGGUUGUAAACCGCUUUCAGUAGGGAAGAAGCCUUUGUGGUGACGGUACCUGCAGAAGAAGUACCGGCUAACUACGUGCCAGCAGCCGCGGUAAUACGUAGGGUACGAGCGUUGUCCGGAAUUAUUGGGCGUAAAGAGCUCGUAGGUGGUUGGUCACGUCUGCUGUGGAAACGCAACGCUUAACGUUGCGCGGGCAGUGGGUACGGGCUGACUAGAGUGCAGUAGGGGAGUCUGGAAUUCCUGGUGUAGCGGUGAAAUGCGCAGAUAUCAGGAGGAACACCGGUGGCGAAGGCGGGACUCUGGGCUGUAACUGACACUGAGGAGCGAAAGCAUGGGGAGCGAACAGGAUUAGAUACCCUGGUAGUCCAUGCCGUAAACGUUGGGCACUAGGUGUGGGGGGCAUUCCACGUUCUCCGCGCCGUAGCUAACGCAUUAAGUGCUCCGCUC